UUCAACGGCCGCGGUAUUCUAACCGUGCAAAGGUAGCGUAAUCACUUGUCUUCUAAAUAGAGACUAGUAUGAACGGCUAAAUGAGAGCAAGCCUGUCUCUUAUAACCAAUCAGUGAAACUGAUCUUCCAGUACAAAAGCUGGAAUUAAAACAUAAGACGAGAAGACCCCGUGGAGCUUAAAAUAAUAACCAACACCAGCAUUAGUAUGUUAUUUUGAGUUGGGGCGACUUCGGAGUAAAAUAAAACCUCCGAGCACAGAACCACCACUUCUAACCUAAGGCCUACAAGCCUAAGUAAAAAAUGACCCGGCCAUGCCGAUCAACGAACCAAGUUACCCCGGGGAUAACAGCGCUAUCUUCUUCAAGAGUCCCCAUCAACAAGAAGGUUUACGACCUCGAUGUUGGAUCAGGACACCCAAAUGGUGCAGCCGCUAUUAAAGGUUCGUUUGUUCAACGAUUAACAGUCCUACGUGAUCUGA
Molecule: ribosomal RNA, 478 nt
Filed under: Trachylepis sp.
Lineage: Eukaryota; Metazoa; Chordata; Lepidosauria; Squamata; Scincidae
Description: partial large subunit ribosomal RNA
Rfam family: Bacterial large subunit ribosomal RNA
Source: RNAcentral